UACAGAGGUCCCAAGCGUUGUUCGGAUUCACUGGGCGUAAAGGGUGCGUAGGCGGUCGGGUAAGUCUGAUGUGAAAUCUCACAGCUUAACUGUGAAACUGCAUUGGAUACUAUUCGGCUAGAGAGUUGGAGGGGGGACUGGAAUUCUUGGUGUAGCAGUGAAAUGCGUAGAUAUCAAGAGGAACACCAGUGGCGAAGGCGGCUACCUGGACCGGUUCUGACGCUGAUGCGCGAAAGCGUGGGUAGCAAACAGG
This 253-nucleotide ribosomal RNA is filed under the name uncultured bacterium. RNAcentral describes it as "partial 16S ribosomal RNA". It matches the Rfam family "Bacterial small subunit ribosomal RNA", at positions 524 to 776 of the family's 1533-position model. The record is from RNAcentral.